ACCUUGGAAUCAGUUCAGCUGGAGAGUAAGUUAAGAUUAGGUAAGUAACUCUAUUCUUUUGAGUUAUCUGGUGUAUUUCCAGUAGGCCCUUGAAAUCUAGGGGAAUAAUUAUUUUCUUGAUUGUUCGUACUCAUAACCGCCGCAGGUCUCCAAGGUUAGAAGCCUCUAGUUUAAUAGAAUAAUGUAGGUAAGGGAAGUCGGCAAAAUAGAUCCGUAACUUCGGGGAAAAGGAUUGGCUCUAAGGGCUGAGUAUAUGGGUCUAUAGGAGGAUCCUAUAUGAUAGUAUUAGGACUACGAUUGACUGGAAACGGUUGAUUGUGGACUUGAUAAAGGAGUAUAGAGGGUGCUUAUAGAUGAAUAAUAGGGUCAAACUUAUUAUUCAUUUCUGUAUACAAUUAACAGCUAACUUAGAACUGGUACGGACAAGGGGAAUCCGACUGUUUAAUUAAAACAAGCAAAGUGAUGCUCUUGAGAAGAUGUUAACACUUUGUGAUUUUCUGCCCAGUGCUCUGAAUGUCAAAGUGAAGAAA
Molecule: ribosomal RNA, 530 nt
Filed under: uncultured eukaryote
Lineage: Eukaryota
Description: eukaryotic LSU rRNA
Rfam family: Eukaryotic large subunit ribosomal RNA
Source: RNAcentral